AGCUAGUUGGUGAGGUAACGGCCCACCAAGGCGACGAUCGGUAGCCGGACUGAGAGGUUGAACGGCCACAUUGGGACUGAGACACGGCCCAGACUCCUACGGGAGGCAGCAGUGGGGAAUAUUGCACAAUGGGGGAAACCCUGAUGCAGCGACGCCGCGUGGAGGAAGAAGGUCUUCGGAUUGUAAACUCCUGUUGUUGAGGAAGAUAAUGACGGUACUCAACAAGGAAGUGACGGCUAACUACGUGCCAGCAGCCGCGGUAAAACGUAGGUCACAAGCGUUGUCCGGAAUUACUGGGUGUAAAGGGAGCGCAGGCGGGAAGACAAGUUGGAAGUGAAAUCCAUGGGCUUAACCCAUGAACUGCUUUCAAAACUGUUUUUCUUGAGUAGUGCAGAGGUAGGCGGAAUUCCCGGUGUAGCGGUGGAAUGCGUAGAUAUCGGGAGGAACACCAGUGGCGAAGGCGGCCUACUGGGCACCAACUGACGCUGAGGCUCGAAAGUGUGGGUAGCAAACAGGAUUAGAUACCCUGGUAGUCCACACCGUAAACGAUGAUUACUAGGUGUUGGAGGAUUGACCCCUUCAGUGCCGCAGUUAACACAAUAAGUAAUCCACCUGGGGAGUACGACCGCAAGGUUGAAACUCAAAGGAAUUGACGGGGGCCCGCACAAGCAGUGGAGUAUGUGGUUUAAUUCGACGCAACGCGAAGAACCUUACCAAGUCUUGACAUCCUGUGACAGACGUAGAAAUACGUUCUUCCUUCGGGACACAGAGACAGGUGGUGCAUGGUUGUCGUCAGCUCGUGUCGUGAGAUGUUGGGUUAAGUCCCGCAACGAGCGCAACCCUUAUGGUCAGUUACUACGCAAGAGGACUCUGGCCAGACUGCCGUUGACAAAACGGAGUAAGGUGGGGAUGACGUCAAAUCAUCAUGCCCUUUAUGACUUGGGCUACACACGUACUACAAUGGCGUUAAACAAAGAGAAGCAAGACCGCGAGGUGGAGCAAAACUCAGAAACAACGUCCCAGUUCGGACUGCAGGCUGCAACUCGCCUGCACGAAGUCGGAAUUGCUAGUAAUCGUGGAUCAGCAUGCCACGGUGAAUACGUUCCCGGGCCUUGUACACACCGCCCGUCGCACCAUGAGAGCCGGGGGGACCCGAAGUCGGUAGUCUAACCGCAAGGAGGACGCCGCCGAAGGUAAAACUGGUGAUUGGGGUGAAGUCGUAACAAGGUAGCCGUAGGAGAACCUGCGGCUG
This 1252-nucleotide ribosomal RNA is filed under the name metagenome. Its description in RNAcentral is "bacterial SSU rRNA". It matches the Rfam family "Bacterial small subunit ribosomal RNA", at positions 243 to 1520 of the family's 1533-position model. The record is from RNAcentral.